Molecule: ribosomal RNA, 397 nt
Filed under: uncultured bacterium
Lineage: Bacteria
Description: bacterial SSU rRNA
Rfam family: Bacterial small subunit ribosomal RNA
Source: RNAcentral
UAUAUCGGAACGUGCCCAGUCGUGGGGGAUAACGUAGCGAAAGUUACGCUAAUACCGCAUACGAUCUAAGGAUGAAAGCGGGGGAUCGCAAGACCUCGCGCGAUUGGAGCGGCCGAUAUCAGAUUAGGUAGUUGGUGAGGUAAAGGCUCACCAAGCCAACGAUCUGUAGCUGGUCCUGAGAGGACGACCAGCCACACUGGAACUGAGACACGGUCCAGACUCCUACGGGAGGCAGCAGUGGGGAAUUUUGGACAAUGGACGCAAGUCUGAUCCAGCCAUUCCGCGUGCAGGAUGAAGGCCCUCGGGUUGUAAACUGCUUUGUACGGAACGAAAAGGUUUGUCUUAAUACGAUGAGCUCAUGACGGUACCGUAAGAAUAAGCACCGGCUAACUACGUG